AGUGGCCAGGAGGGCAAGUGGCACCCUUCUGUGGAAGUAAAUUUGCCUUGCUGAGAAAUUCUUUGUUUGAGUGCUCAUUUUCCUUGCGACUCCAAGCUCUUAUUUCCAACAGGGAAAUCUUUGACCUGUUUAUGUAACAAAGGAUGAGAUAGAAAGACAGAAAUGCUCAAGGAUGGAAAGAAAAGUGAGUGAGCAAGAGAGAUUAAGAGACAGAGAGUCAGAGUGUAACUUGGAAAAGUGGUGAAGAAAAUCUCAGGAAAAAAGGAGCACUCCACGACUGCUGAGGGUUCAAGAAGAGGACAGAGAAUUGAUGCUGUAUGUGCCUGAACAAGACAAUUGACAACCUUGUUGAGAGCAGUUUCAGUGGAAUAGUCAGGGAGAGAAAACCUGGAUUGGAGCAUGCUAAGGAAUGGAAGUAGAGAUGUGAGUAUCUACAAAUCUUCCAAGGAAGACUUUCUAACUGUUUUAAGGAAAGCACUCAGGGGUGCCCAGCAGGACAGCCUCCAGCUCUUCCAAUCAGAGCUGUAACACCAUUUCCUGAAACACCGUUUUCAACUAAGCUUUGGAGUGACAAAAAUACCUGUUAUCACGGACUAAUGCCUCCAGGAAAGAAAUCCUCGUGAUAUGCAUCUGUCCCCAAUAUGGCCACAGUAAAUCUGAGAGGAAGAAGGCACAGGUAAAAAUUAGGCUUGCUCAUAGAAUACAAUAUUUAUGACUGUUGUUUACGCCUGCUUGUUUUACAGAGGAAAAUUAAGAGCUGUGGAAAUUAAAGACUAAGAUACGCAGCUAGCUAAAAGCAGAGCCUAAGUUCCAGGUUCCUGAUCCACUGCUCAUUAUUCUUUGAAGAAAAGAUCACUCAUAUUGUUAAGGAUUCUUUAGAUCUUAUAUAGAAAUCUACAACAUUUACACCUCUAUUCUGAAUAUUUAACUGACUCUGAAAUAUACAAGGCACUGUGCUGGGCCCUGAGGAAUAAAAAUUUUGUGUAAGACUCCAAAGCUGCACUUAGAGGGCUUGUGAUUGUAUGGAGGUAGCUAGUGGGAAGGAGAUUGGAACGUGUUCCCAAAAGUUUCUAGAAAAAAAUAAUUUAAUACAAAUGUUGUGUGAAUGGAACAGAAAGGUACCACAGGUACACUAAGGGUAAAGAAAGUACUUCCUGAGGGAGUAAUCAAUAAAGCUAAGAUUCCUACAAUUGAUCAAUGUCCAACAGGAGACCUUGGGUUUUUCAAUAAAAGCCAUUAAGCAGCAACAGUGAUCUCAAUCCCAUAAAAGGAUUCCAUAAACCAAACAUUUAGUUGGUAUAGAUAAAUAACUGUAAGAUACCUUAUUAAAUGUCCCACUAUUAAAAUUAAGCUUUACAAUUAUCUACCAAUUGGACAAUGCCACCAACACAUGACAGUAUUAGUGUUCUUGUUUUAUAAACGUUGUCGUGUGUGUGUGCGUGCACACGUGUCUUUGUAUAUGAAUGUGUAUGUAUACAUAUAUAACAAACAGGGGUGUUAUUGAAAAACAUUUAAUGAAGUUAAUGUAAAGUAUUAAUGUCCAAAGCAAAAAAUUAAGACUAUAUUUUUAUUUUCUAGACAGAACUAUGUGUUUAUAUGCAUAAUAAAACUGCUUUCCAAGUGAUGUAAGUUCAAGUCACUUUAAUCAUUCCCAAAUCACCUGCUGAGGUUUAGCAUUUCUUUUCCACAUAUCCCAUCACACUGUGUCCCUCCUCACUGGGUUUCCGCUGCACACUUGGUUGCAGUGAAG
RNAcentral lists this long non-coding RNA (1750 nucleotides) under Homo sapiens (human). RNAcentral's name for it is "HSALNT0136810". The record is from RNAcentral. Lineage: Eukaryota; Metazoa; Chordata; Mammalia; Primates; Hominidae.